CCUUCACUACAACUUUGCAUUGAUUUUGAAUUUUGAUGUGUAGGAUAGUUGGGAGACUUUGAAGCGGUGUCGCCAGGCAUCGUGGAGUCAACGUUGAAAUACCAACCUUUAAACAUUUAGAAUCUAAUCCCUAACGGGAAACAGUGCAUGGUGGGUAGUUUGACUGGGGUGGUCGCUCCUAAAAGGUAACGGAGCGUGCAAAGGUUCCCUCAGUACUGGACGGAAAUCAGACGUGAGUGUAAAGGCAAAAGGGAGCUUGACUGCAGACUACAAGUCGAGCAGGAGCGAAAGCUGGCUUAGUGAUCCGACGUACUGUGUGGAAGGGCCGUCGCUCAACGAUAAAGUUA
This 347-nucleotide ribosomal RNA is filed under the name uncultured alga. Its description in RNAcentral is "bacterial LSU rRNA". It matches the Rfam family "Bacterial large subunit ribosomal RNA", at positions 2101 to 2460 of the family's 2925-position model. The record is from RNAcentral.